UCCGGUUGAUCCCGCCGGACCUGACUGCUAUCGGAUUGAUACUAAGCCAUGCGAGUCAUUGUAGUAAUACAAGGCAGACGGCUCAGUAACGCGUAGUCAACCUACCCUAUGGACGGGGAUAACCUCGGGAAACUGAGAAUAAUACCCGAUAGAACAUUAUACCUGGAAUGGUUUAUGUUUCAAAUAAUUUAUUGCCGUAGGAUGGGACUGCGGCCUAUCAGUUUGUUGGUGAGGUAAUGGCCCACCAAGACUAUUACAGGUACGGGCUCUGAGAGGAGUAGCCCGGAGAUGGGUACUGAGACACGGACCCAGGCCCUAUGGGGCGCAGCAGGCGAGAAAACUUUGCAAUGUGCGAAAGCACGACAAGGUUAAUCCGAGUGGUUUCUGCUAAAGGAACCUUUUGUCAGUCCUAGAAACACUGGUGAAUAAGGGGUGGGCAAGUUCUGGUGUCAGCCGCCGCGGUAAAACCAGCACCUCAAGUGGUCAGGAUGAUUAUUGGGCCUAAAGCAUCCGUAGCCUGCUUUGUUAGUUUUCGGUUAAAUCCAUAUGCUCAACAUAUGGGCUGCCGGGAAUACUGCAAAGCUAGGGAGUGGGAGAGGUAGACGGUACUCUGUAGGAAGGGGUAAAAUCCUUUGAUCUAUUGAUGACCACCUGUGGCGAAGGCGGUCUACCACAACACGUCAGACGGUGAGGGAUGAAAGCUGGGGGAGCAACCGGAUUAGAUACCCGGGUAGUCCCAUCUGUAAACUAUGCAAACUCAGUGAUGCAUUGGCUUGUGUCCACGCAGUGCUGCACGUAAGCCGUUAAGUUUGCCGCCUGGGAAGUACGUACGCAAGUAUGAAACUUAACGAAUUGGCGGGGGGAGUACUACAAGGGGUGAAGCCUGCGGUUCCAGUGGGAUACCACCGCCGAGA
This 914-nucleotide ribosomal RNA is filed under the name uncultured archaeon. Its description in RNAcentral is "bacterial SSU rRNA". It matches the Rfam family "Archaeal small subunit ribosomal RNA", at positions 1 to 926 of the family's 1478-position model. The record is from RNAcentral.